UCGUUUUUUUGUCACUUUUCUCUCUUCCAUGAAAGGUAAAACACAUGCUACCAUGAAAACCUCAACAACAGCACCACCAUCAAAACAAUCUUCUCUUCUCAUCCCAUCCCAUCUCAUAUUUUGUUCUUAAUUUUAUGGCUCAUGUAAACUGGACCUUAGGGUAGGCAUUUGAAUUUGGUUUUUGGAGUUAUUUGGGGUGAUAGUGAUGGAUGAAAACUUGAGGUAGAGAGAGGGGGUUGUUGUGAUAAUGACGGAGGGAAAUUAUGGUGGUUGAAGGAGGUGACUUCUUUAUGGUUAGAAAGAUUUAGAGCAUUAAGAGAUUUUUUGAAUGAAUAAAGAUUGAAUAUGAGGAGGAAUUGGACAGUGAAGGUUAAGGUUUGUUCUAAAGCUGAGAGCUCGAGCUUCCCUCUGGAGAAAAGGAGGUUCUUGCUUUAAAUUCCUGGGUUUUUCUUUCUGGGUGUCUUUAGAUGCAUGGGAACUAGGCUCUGGAUAUGUGGUUUUAAUUGUUCUGUGCAGAAAAGUUGUGGAACACGUAUGUCUGCUCAAAGCAGAGCAGGUUGUCUGAUGAGGAUGAACAAGAUACGCUGGAUUAUCUGUAUGCAUUCCAAUAUCAAAAGCGUAGAAUUGCUGCUGUUUCUUUGGGUCACUUCCUUUUUCACUAUUCAAUUACAAUAUGCGGAAAACUGGAACAUUGGCAUACAUUUCUUGCACAUCUUGGCUUACACACAGUCAUGUACAUGCCCUGUUUUCUUUUUCUACAGGGCGAAUCUCCAAUGACAAAGUGGGAAAUUACACUCAUGCUGUUUUCAUGCGUUUCCAAGCAAAGAUUUUGCAUAGUUCUAUGAGAACCCUUUCUAUCUGAAAGUCUUCGACGAACAUGCAAUCACAAUAACUCCUAUUUUCUCUAAGAUUUUACUGGUAUUUCCUUUGACAAUCCACCAAUUUUGCCUAAAUUAGAAUCUUACCAGGUGCCUUUUCUAUUUGGCUUAGUUUCACCGCUUUGUGGUAGGAUUUAGUUAAUGUGGAUUAUGAAUCUGAAGCUGAAGAUGAUGUGCUUCCUAUAUCUCGUAAAGGAGAGGUAAACCACUUACUUCCACUUUUUUGACUGCUUCUCGUUGGUAUAUUUUGCAGCAGAGGUCUUUCAGAUGUUUGUGGGUAGUACUGGAUACAAAGAAGUAAGAAUUUUUGUCUUCUGUUCACCUUUCAAUUAUCAGUCUUUAAAUUAUCCAUGGAUGCUUCAGUGUCAUAUCUUGAAUAGUGGACUCUCUCUGGGAAUUUAUAUUUAACUCUGUAAUUCUGAUGUUAUAGUUUAUUUUGUGAUUUGUCUUCGUGCUCAUAGAUGUUGAGGCAUGAAUGAAAGGGUACUUUCCACUCACUGUUUUUAUUUAUAGGAACAAACAUUCAGGUAAGCAUACUCAAAUUAUGAUUUCAGCUUAGUCAUUUAUUCAGAUUUUUAUCAUUAGUCACUUCAAUUUCCUUUCCCAGUUACUUCCUUUGAUAGUUGGAACAAGUAAAAUACAGAUUCUCACUUUGCCUCUUGCCAUAUAAUUUAGUACAUAAUUUAAGUGGUAUAGUGAUGCAGCCUAGAGAUUUAAGCAGCUUCAUAUUUGUAAUUUCAGUAAAUUUCCAGUAGAAAGGACUCUUUUCUGUAAACCCUAAAGGUGGUGCUUAGGUUCUUACUCAAGUAGUGUUUCCUUGUAUCUGUUUUCAAUUUCAAAGUCCCUGAAUCACUUUAUUCCAUAGCCAUAACCCUAUAAACAAACAUAUAUCUUAGAUUUGUCCUGUAUCAUAUAGAUGUUCAGGCUACAAAUGUGAUGGUUUGAAUUGAAGGCCGACUUGCUUGCUUCUGUCUAAAGGUUGAAUCUCCAUAUCUAGUGAAGAUAAGUCUCGAUUUGUCUCUUGGGACAUCGUUUAAACUGAGCAGCAUACCUGUGACUGUUCAAUCUGUCUAUCCCAUUGGAUUCUUCGAAGCCAGUGACAGAAAAAUGAAUCUACAGCAGUGUCAAUGCCUCUCCUAAUCCUCUUUUUUUUUUUAACCUUCAAAAAACAUCAAGUUUACUAUUGGACUAUAUACCUGAAGAGAAUAGUAAUAAUAUAUUAUUUGACAUUAAUCAGUAGUUAAACUGUUUGAAUUGCCCUUAUUUUUAAAAUCAUGCUGGCUACAUCUUAGAUCCUUGCAUGCACUAGCGACUUAGAGAGAGGAAUCCACUUCAGUUUCAAAA
Populus euphratica (Euphrates poplar) is the source of this 2222-nucleotide long non-coding RNA. RefSeq lists it as uncharacterized. NCBI's taxonomy places the organism in Eukaryota, Viridiplantae, Streptophyta, Magnoliopsida, Malpighiales, Salicaceae. The transcript is spliced from 2 exons. The record is from RefSeq and is a predicted model, not a curated record.